CCUACGGGCGGCAGCAGUGAGGAAUAUUGGUCAAUGGGCUUACGCCUGAACCAGCCAAGCCGCGUGAGGGAAGACUGCCCUAUGGGUUGUAAACCUCUUUUGUCAGGGACGAAGAAAGUGACGGUAUCUGUGGAAUAAGCCACGGCUAACUACGUGACAGCAGCCGCGGUAAUACGUAGGUGGCAAGCGUUAUCCGGAUUUAUUGGGUGUAAAGGGCGUGUAGGCGGGAGCGCAAGUCAGAUGUGAAAACUCUGGGCUCAACCCUGAGCCUGCAUUUGAUACUGUGUUUCUUGAGUGCUGGAGAGGCAAGCGGAAUGCCGGGUGUAGCGGUGAAAUGCGUAGAGAUACGGAGGAACACCAGUGGCGAAGGCGGAUUGCUAGACAGUAACUGACGCUGAGGCGCGAAAGCGUGGGGAGCAAACAGGAUUAGAUACCCCUGUAGUC
Molecule: ribosomal RNA, 444 nt
Filed under: uncultured bacterium
Lineage: Bacteria
Description: partial 16S ribosomal RNA
Rfam family: Bacterial small subunit ribosomal RNA
Source: RNAcentral